RNAcentral lists this ribosomal RNA (1776 nucleotides) under Escherichia coli D6-113.11. RNAcentral's name for it is "bacterial LSU rRNA". It matches the Rfam family "Bacterial large subunit ribosomal RNA", at positions 1168 to 2925 of the family's 2925-position model. Lineage: Bacteria; Pseudomonadati; Pseudomonadota; Gammaproteobacteria; Enterobacterales; Enterobacteriaceae. The record is from RNAcentral.
AGAUGUAACGGGGCUAAACCAUGCACCGAAGCUGCGGCAGCGACGCUGAUGCGUUGUUGGGUAGGGGAGCGUUCUGUAAGCCUGUGAAGGUGUGCUGUGAGGCAUGCUGGAGGUAUCAGAAGUGCGAAUGCUGACAUAAGUAACGAUAAAGCGGGUGAAAAGCCCGCUCGCCGGAAGACCAAGGGUUCCUGUCCAACGUUAAUCGGGGCAGGGUGAGUCGACCCCUAAGGCGAGGCCGAAAGGCGUAGUCGAUGGGAAACAGGUUAAUAUUCCUGUACUUGGUGUUACUGCGAAGGGGGGACGGAGAAGGCUAUGUUGGCCGGGCGACGGUUGUCCCGGUUUAAGCGUGUAGGCUGGUUUUCCAGGCAAAUCCGGAAAAUCAAGGCUGAGGCGUGAUGACGAGGCACUACGGUGCUGAAGCAACAAAUGCCCUGCUUCCAGGAAAAGCCUCUAAGCAUCAGGUAACAUCAAAUCGUACCCCAAACCGACACAGGUGGUCAGGUAGAGAAUACCAAGGCGCUUGAGAGAACUCGGGUGAAGGAACUAGGCAAAAUGGUGCCGUAACUUCGGGAGAAGGCACGCUGAUAUGUAGGUGAAGUCCCUCGCGGAUGGAGCUGAAAUCAGUCGAAGAUACCAGCUGGCUGCAACUGUUUAUUAAAAACACAGCACUGUGCAAACACGAAAGUGGACGUAUACGGUGUGACGCCUGCCCGGUGCCGGAAGGUUAAUUGAUGGGGUCAGCGCAAGCGAAGCUCUUGAUCGAAGCCCCGGUAAACGGCGGCCGUAACUAUAACGGUCCUAAGGUAGCGAAAUUCCUUGUCGGGUAAGUUCCGACCUGCACGAAUGGCGUAAUGAUGGCCAGGCUGUCUCCACCCGAGACUCAGUGAAAUUGAACUCGCUGUGAAGAUGCAGUGUACCCGCGGCAAGACGGAAAGACCCCGUGAACCUUUACUAUAGCUUGACACUGAACAUUGAGCCUUGAUGUGUAGGAUAGGUGGGAGGCUUAGAAGUGUGGACGCCAGUCUGCAUGGAGCCGACCUUGAAAUACCACCCUUUAAUGUUUGAUGUUCUAACGUUGACCCGUGAUCCGGGUUGCGGACAGUGUCUGGUGGGUAGUUUGACUGGGGCGGUCUCCUCCUAAAGAGUAACGGAGGAGCACGAAGGUUGGCUAAUCCUGGUCGGACAUCAGGAGGUUAGUGCAAUGGCAUAAGCCAGCUUGACUGCGAGCGUGACGGCGCGAGCAGGUGCGAAAGCAGGUCAUAGUGAUCCGGUGGUUCUGAAUGGAAGGGCCAUCGCUCAACGGAUAAAAGGUACUCCGGGGAUAACAGGCUGAUACCGCCCAAGAGUUCAUAUCGACGGCGGUGUUUGGCACCUCGAUGUCGGCUCAUCACAUCCUGGGGCUGAAGUAGGUCCCAAGGGUAUGGCUGUUCGCCAUUUAAAGUGGUACGCGAGCUGGGUUUAGAACGUCGUGAGACAGUUCGGUCCCUAUCUGCCGUGGGCGCUGGAGAACUGAGGGGGGCUGCUCCUAGUACGAGAGGACCGGAGUGGACGCAUCACUGGUGUUCGGGUUGUCAUGCCAAUGGCACUGCCCGGUAGCUAAAUGCGGAAGAGAUAAGUGCUGAAAGCAUCUAAGCACGAAACUUGCCCCGAGAUGAGUUCUCCCUGACUCCUUGAGAGUCCUGAAGGAACGUUGAAGACGACGACGUUGAUAGGCCGGGUGUGUAAGCGCAGCGAUGCGUUGAGCUAACCGGUACUAAUGAACCGUGAGGCUUAACC